RNAcentral lists this transfer RNA (58 nucleotides) under Dipodomys ordii (Ord's kangaroo rat). It matches the Rfam family "tRNA", at positions 8 to 63 of the family's 71-position model. From Rfam's summary of the family: Transfer RNA (tRNA) molecules are approximately 80 nucleotides in length. Their secondary structure includes four short double-helical elements and three loops (D, anti-codon, and T loops). Lineage: Eukaryota; Metazoa; Chordata; Mammalia; Rodentia; Heteromyidae. The record is from Rfam by way of RNAcentral.
UGGCUCGGUGGUAGAGCGCUUGCCUUGCAUGCAUGAGGCCCUGAGUUCGAUUCCUCAG